Molecule: non-coding RNA, 23 nt
Filed under: Gallus gallus (chicken)
Lineage: Eukaryota; Metazoa; Chordata; Aves; Galliformes; Phasianidae
Also listed under: 22 other names
Source: RNAcentral
UAAUACUGCCGGGUAAUGAUGGA